CUGCUACUCCCAGCUGCCACUCAGGCUGCCUUGUCCUGAUACUGGUCAGUUCCGCAUGUGCUGGAUGUAAUCUCUCCACAUACAUCUGCUUUCGCACGCUUUACCAGCAGUGGGUAUCCGGUCCUGAGUAGAUGCUGAACAAGUCUGAGGAAGGAUGAAGAGGGAAGGAGAAGGAAAGACAGGCGGAAGCCACCGCCUUCCUACGCCGGCCUCCUUUGCCCUCUUCGCACGCCAGGGCUCUGGGUCCAUUCGGUUCGCCCUCAAAUUCAGUCCUCUCUGAAAUUGCAGAAGUCUCUGAAGCAUAUAAUUUGUGGCUUCCAAUGAGUUUGAACUUCAUGCUUGAAGUGAUGCACAAGCCCUGGAUAUCCUGGUACGCGCAGAAACUGAACCAAGGCACAGCCGACAGUUGCUUCAACUUGGCAAAGAUU
Non-coding RNA from Manis javanica (Malayan pangolin), 428 nucleotides. Lineage: Eukaryota; Metazoa; Chordata; Mammalia; Pholidota; Manidae. The record is from RefSeq and is a predicted model, not a curated record.